Molecule: long non-coding RNA, 2162 nt
Organism: Numida meleagris (helmeted guineafowl)
Lineage: Eukaryota; Metazoa; Chordata; Aves; Galliformes; Numididae
Source: Ensembl
CAUCAGUGUUGCUCUCCAGUCUCACCUGCUGAUAGCUACUGUGUAGCAGUAGCUCCAGAAGAGCUGGGAUUCAUCUCACCUGCAUUUGAUACCUAAUUCUACAUGUCUGUUUCUGAUCUGGUUACUCUGAGUUGUUUCUAAGUGUAGAAGCAACAGGAAAAAAACAGGAACUAUCAGGAAGCAUUUCAUUCAGUGCAGUGUUUCUUAUUUUCAUUCAUGAAGAAAAUAAGGAUACAUAAAAGCUGGUCUACCAACUGAGAAUAGCAGUUCAUUCAUACUUUCCCUUCUCUCCUGAGGCAAAUGGCAAAAGCUGGCACAAAAACCCAGGGUGGCGUGCACAUUGUUGAUCUUUUGGAAUAACCAACUGCCAGGGAAAUAUCAACUUACUUCUGCAAUUCAGUGGCAUCCAGGAAAGUGUUCAGAAGCAUCCCAGGAGCAUGAGACAAAAUGUAGAGAGUUUGCAGGUUAAAGGCAAGCAACAAGCAGUGGAUGGGCUUUGAGAUAGUUCCCUCUGGACAUAGCACACAGUAACUAAGAUUCGUGUUUAAAGGGGUAGAUGUUACAAUUUCGAGCAGUGGUUUACACACUAUGGAAAAAAAAUGCUGCAGAGACAUGCUUUACAUGGACUUGGUAUGUGCAGAACAGUGUGCUUUCUGGUAGUUUAAAAUUAUUGGGUUUUGUUCUUCAGUGUGGAUAUCCAACCUACCAGGACAGACUCUGUCUUCGGCACCUGGAUCCCCCUUCAGGAGGACUGAAUUUUGCAAAAGCAAUAGCUGGAACUGGCCUUCAGACCUUCUAGCUUUAGUACUGGAAGGAGAAGAUUGUGACCUCAGGUCAAGUCAAUGGAUGAUAAAUAUAUUGUGUUUAAAAAACUGCUGGAGAAAAUCAAGGAGAGAAGAUAACCGACCCAGUCUCUAAAUCUCUAGAUCUUGUCUCUCUUGAACAGUAGCUCAUUAUACCUACCUGAAAAGUGAGCACCAGAAUUUAUUCUUAUUGAAAUGUGUCCUAAUUUUUAAGCUUUUUUUUCUUGUGAUGGCUGUUUCUGUCUCUUUUUCUGAUUGUACUGCAAAACCUCCAGCUAGCUCCUCACACCUUCACAUCUCCAACUGUUUAAUUAGUAUUCUCCUUUUCCAUCCUUCUGCAGAUAAUAAGCACGGGCUGUGAAGCAUCCCCCUUGAUUAUCAGAGCAGAGUACCAGUUUCCAGCCUGUUUUACACCUCAGCCCAUGAUAUUUCCAUUUAGAAAAUAAUUUUCAAAUCUUCCUUGUGAGAACACUCUAUAAAGCAGUGUUAAAUCCUUGUUAUAGGCACAGACAGGGUAUCCUCUGUUUCUCUCCCAUUCACAGAGCUGCAGAAGGAAAUGUGAAAGGUCUGACGUCAGUUCUUGCACAGUCCACGUUGCCAUCCCUCAGCUUUUCCCUCAGCUGCCUUCAUUCUUCCUCUUGCUCUGGCUCCUGGGCUCUCACCUCUACAGCCCGCCAGCACAGGUCCCUUCAUCCGACAAAGCUCUUUGCUCUUGAUGGGAUGUCCCCAUCAUCCCAUAGAUCCUGAUUUACAGCCUUCACACUUUGAUUUGCAUGUCUUUUUCUGUCCCUUUUUCCAAAUAUUGGAGUGCUUUUCUAUCUGUUGAGACAACUCAUUUAUAAAGGCUCCCAUACUUUGUGUCUAAUUAUAUUCCACCUCUCAGGCUCUUUCCUCAAUUUUCUUCUCAUUGUUGUGCCUAUGUUUUCCCCUCUGCCUCUAGUCCCUCAGACCACCCCUUGGCUUUUUCUCUUCUUUCUCUUCUUCCAAGACCCCCACUGCUAUUUGUAUCAUAUUCUCUUGCCAUUCUUGCUAAUUCAAACCAACAAACAAAAACUGCCUUUCACCUCAUCUGCAUGAGAUUAUCCUCCAAUACUGAAAACUGACGGAUAGAAACCUUUUAAAUAUCUUUGUGGCUUUUGAAAGUGAAAAGGAAAAGAUUAAGCUGCAUUUACUGAUUUAAUUUGAAACUCAUGAGCACUACCAUAAUGCAGGAUUAGGUUCACACAGUUAUUUUUUAAACGGCAUAACAAUAUUCCUAUUUACUUGUCUAACAGGUCACAGCAACACAGUCAUAACUUUUUACAAAUGACAAUGAUCCUGAGGCAGAAGCCUUCAAAAUAAAGCCUUUCUGAGUUUCCA